Molecule: long non-coding RNA, 567 nt
Organism: Rhinopithecus roxellana (golden snub-nosed monkey)
Lineage: Eukaryota; Metazoa; Chordata; Mammalia; Primates; Cercopithecidae
Exons: 2
Source: RefSeq, a predicted model, not a curated record
GAGAACACACGGCAAGCUGGUUGCUGAACCUUGGUCCGCUACCAGCCCCAGGGAGAGCGCCGGAGCGCGGCCCCGACAGCAGCCGCAGCCUCCUGCCGUGGAGGAUCGAGGCUCGGAAGGACCCACACCCCAGUGUCGCUUUCCCAGAUGGUGUCGCUGCGCAGGUCGUGGCCUACCAUGGCCACAGUGCUUUUGGCCCUGCUCGUCUACCUGGGGGCGCUGGUCGAGGCCCACCCUAUCAAACCGAGGCUCCCGGCGAAGACGCCUCCCUGGAGGAGCUGAGCCGCUACUACGCCUCCCUGAGCCACUACCUCAACCUGGUCACCUGGCCAUGGCCGGAGGCUCAGACCUGUAGUGAGGACCCCCGAGGCCUCCUGGGAGAUCUGCAGACCACGCCCACCUCAUUUGCAUGUUCACUCCCGACCCCGGAAACCCGGAUUCCGCCUCCCGCCGGCAUCUGGGCAGGGUUCGGAUACCGCAGUCCUGCGUCUCGGUGCCCUCGCCCCUUGAGCUGCAGGGCUGUGUGUGCUCCUUCCCUGGUCCCAAAAUAAAGAGCGAAUUCCACAG